GAUGUAUCCAUCUAUAAAUAAACUGGUAAUGAACAUCUCAACCAUCCUUCCCAUUAAUGUCCAAUCUUUUUCUAACUUAUUUUCUUUCUAACUAUACAUUUGGUUUUGUCAUUGGCAAGUAAGUCUCGUCUUUUUUCUUUUUCUUCUUUUGGCUCACCAUGCGCAAGCAAUCCCAAUCACCCUGUACUUUCUGAGUUCCUAAAAAUUAAACUUAAAUUUUGCCACAUGAGUUAAUUGCCAAUUGUCUAAGCCUCUAUAUCAUCAUCACUUACAAGAAUAUGAUCUAGAUAGGAAAUACAUUCUCAAGCUUCACCCAUCACAUUUCUCUAUGGAUUUUGCUAAUGUAGAUCUUUCAAUCCUAAUUUGGUAUCCUAUUUGUAACUAUCAAAUAUUAUGCUAUUUUACAUAUUCAUUUUGUAUUGGCAAAUGCAAUACAUCUUUUCCUAAUAAAUAUUUGAAAUGUAAAAGCUAGAGACUGUAAAGUAUUUGCUUCCUUACCAUGUAUAUUCUUUGUAAUAAUUGGUGUCAUGCCUAACAAAACCUGUAGGAAGCAAACUCCAAUUACACUCAUUAGUAAUGAGUGAAUUAUUAUUAUUAUUAUAUUAUCAUACUAACUCAGGUUUUCACAUAUAUGCAAUUGGGGAUGAUGAUGGGGAUGAUGAUGAUGAUGAGGAUGAGGAUGAACGUUAUAAAUUUUAUGAAAUUUUAUAAGGUGAUAACAAUUUAGGUCUCUAGAAGAUGACGCUCAUGUCUUACUUAUACUUUAACUGGCUACUAAAUAGUGAAGAUUUUCUUAGCUUGAAUUUCAGUUGAGGCUACUGCUACUGGAUGUGCAUAAGCAUUUCAGUCAAUAUGACUAUUUUUUUUUUAGUUGAAAAUCCAUGUAUGUUGUAUUGAAUUUGUAAAUGGUUUUGGUUAUAAUGAUUUGGAAAUGUAUUCAAGUGACAUAUCCUUGUAUCUUGUUUUAUAAUGACGGUAGAAUAUGGUCUUUUCUUUUCUUUUUUAAAGGGGUUUUAGUUUGUACCAGUUAUAAUGAUUUCUACAGGAUGACGUUCAAUUGAGCCUGCUGUUAUUGGAUGGUAUACAAGUUAUACUUUCAGUUAACUUUGCACAA
Quercus robur (English oak) is the source of this 1114-nucleotide long non-coding RNA. RefSeq lists it as uncharacterized. NCBI's taxonomy places the organism in Eukaryota, Viridiplantae, Streptophyta, Magnoliopsida, Fagales, Fagaceae. The transcript has 2 exons. The record is from RefSeq and is a predicted model, not a curated record.